This 387-nucleotide ribosomal RNA is filed under the name Triticum aestivum (bread wheat). RNAcentral describes it as "partial small subunit ribosomal RNA". Lineage: Eukaryota; Viridiplantae; Streptophyta; Magnoliopsida; Poales; Poaceae. The record is from RNAcentral.
AUGAGUCAUGACUCAGGGCAUGUCACACAAAAUAGUGGUGUAGUGAACAUUGCAGAAAAUGGUGUUCGAUAUUAUGGCAGAUUAACUAACAUAUUUGAAUUGUCCUAUAAUGAUUACAAGGUGGUGUUCUUUAAUUGUGAUUGGUAUGAUGUCUACCACAAAGUUGGCAUUCAAACCGAUGAGUUUGGGUUCAUUCUUGUGAACAAGUCUCAGAAAAUACACACAGGAGAUCAGUUAGAGGAUGAUCCUUUUGUAUUUUCUUCCCAGGUGCAGCAGGUUUUCUAUGUUCAAGAUCCAAAAGCUGAACUAUGGAAUGUAGUAGUGGAAGUCAGGCCUCGUGACCUUUUUGACAUGGGUGAUGAAGAAUCAUCAGAUGAAACAGAUUAG